Molecule: ribosomal RNA, 467 nt
Filed under: uncultured bacterium
Lineage: Bacteria
Description: partial 16S ribosomal RNA
Rfam family: Bacterial small subunit ribosomal RNA
Source: RNAcentral
GACGAACGCUGGCGGCGUGCUUAACACAUGCAAGUCGAACGGAAAGGCCCUGCUUUUGUGGGGUGCUCGAGUGGCGAACGGGUGAGUAACACGUGAGUAACCUGCCCUUGACUUUGGGAUAACUUCAGGAAACUGGGGCUAAUACCGGAUAGGAGCUCCUGCUGCAUGGUGGGGGUUGGAAAGUUUCGGCGGUUGGGGAUGGACUCGCGGCUUAUCAGCUUGUUGGUGGGGUAGUGGCUUACCAAGGCUUUGACGGGUAGCCGGCCUGAGAGGGUGACCGGCCACAUUGGGACUGAGAUGCGACCCAGACUCCUACGGGAGGCAGCAGUGGGGAAUAUUGCACAAUGGGCGGAAGCCUGAUGCAGCAACGCCGCGUGCGGGAGGACGGCCUUCGGGUGGGAAACCGCUUUCGCCUGUGACGAAGCGUGAGUGACGGUAAUGGGUAAAGAAGCACCGGCUAACUACGU